Molecule: ribosomal RNA, 395 nt
Filed under: uncultured bacterium
Lineage: Bacteria
Description: partial 16S ribosomal RNA
Rfam family: Bacterial small subunit ribosomal RNA
Source: RNAcentral
AUACGUAGGGUGCAAGCGUUAAUCGGAAUUACUGGGCGUAAAGCGUGCGCAGGCGAUUUUGUAAGACAGUGGUGAAAUCCCCGGGCUCAACCUGGGAACUGCCAUUGUGACUGCAAGGCUGGAGUGCGGCAGAGGGGGAUGGAAUUCCGCGUGUAGCAGUGAAAUGCGUAGAUAUGCGGAGGAACACCGAUGGCGAAGGCAAUCCCCUGGGCCUGCACUGACGCUCAUGCACGAAAGCGUGGGGAGCAAACAGGAUUAGAUACCCUGGUAGUCCACGCCCUAAACGAUGUCAACUGGUUGUUGGGGAUUUAUUUUCUCAGUAACGAAGCUAACGCGUGAAGUUGACCGCCUGGGGAGUACGGCCGCAAGGUUAAAACUCAAAUGAAUUGACGGGG